UGCGUAGGCGGACUAAUAAGUCAGUGGUGAAAUCUCUCGGCUCAACCGGGAAACUGCCAUUGAUACUGUUAGUCUUGAGUUCGGUUGAGGUAGGCGGAAUGUGUAAUGUAGCGGUGAAAUGCUUAGAUAUUACACAGAACACCAAUUGCGUAGGCAGCUUACUAGACCGACACGGACGCUGAGGCACGAAAGCGUGGGUAGCGAACAGGAUUAGAUACCCUGGUAGUCC
This 229-nucleotide ribosomal RNA is filed under the name uncultured bacterium. Its description in RNAcentral is "partial 16S ribosomal RNA". It matches the Rfam family "Bacterial small subunit ribosomal RNA", at positions 568 to 796 of the family's 1533-position model. The record is from RNAcentral.